CCUACGGGAGGCAGCAGUGGGGAAUAUUGCACAAUGGGGGAAACCCUGAUGCAGCAACGCCGCGUGAAGGAAGACGGUUUUCGGAUUUUAAACUUCUGUUCUUAGUGAAGAAUAAUGACUGUAGCUAAGGAGCAAGCCACGGCUAACUACGUGCCAGCAGCCGCGGUAAUACGUAGGUGGCAAGCGUUGUCCGGAAUUACUGGGUGUAAAGGGAGCGCAGGCGGGAAGCCAAGUCAGCUGUGAAAACUACGGGCUUAACUUGUAGACUGCAGUUGAAACUGGUUUUCUUGAGUGAAGUAGAGGUAUGCGGAAUUCCGAGUGUAGCGGUGAAAUGCGUAGAUAUUCGGAGGAACACCGGUGGCGAAGGCGGCCAACUGGGCUUUAACUGACGCUGAGGCUCGAAAGUGUGGGGAGCGAACAGGAUUAGAUACCCGGGUAGUC
This 441-nucleotide ribosomal RNA is filed under the name uncultured bacterium. RNAcentral's name for it is "partial 16S ribosomal RNA". It matches the Rfam family "Bacterial small subunit ribosomal RNA", at positions 338 to 795 of the family's 1533-position model. The record is from RNAcentral.